RNAcentral lists this transfer RNA (57 nucleotides) under Thermoanaerobacterales bacterium. RNAcentral's name for it is "tRNA-Glu". It matches the Rfam family "tRNA", at positions 9 to 64 of the family's 71-position model. Rfam says of the family: Transfer RNA (tRNA) molecules are approximately 80 nucleotides in length. Their secondary structure includes four short double-helical elements and three loops (D, anti-codon, and T loops). Lineage: Bacteria; Bacillati; Bacillota; Clostridia; Thermoanaerobacterales. The record is from RNAcentral.
GGUCAAGCGGUUAAGACACCGCCCUUUCACGGCGGUAUCAGGGGUUCGAGUCCCCUC